Molecule: ribosomal RNA, 535 nt
Filed under: Amolops putaoensis
Lineage: Eukaryota; Metazoa; Chordata; Amphibia; Anura; Ranidae
Description: partial large subunit ribosomal RNA
Rfam family: Bacterial large subunit ribosomal RNA
Source: RNAcentral
GCCUGCCCAGUGACAUAGUUUAACGGCCGCGGUACCCUAACCGUGCAAAGGUAGCAUAAUCACUUGUUCCUUAAAUAGGGACUCGUAUCAACGGCAUCACGAGGGCUGUACUGUCUCCUUUCUCCAAUCAGUGAAACUGAUCUCCCCGUGAAGAAGCGGGGAUAAACCUAUAAGACGAGAAGACCCCAUGGAGCUUUAAACCCAUCACGCACCUCUACGCACCCAAAUCAAUAAAGCCUAAGAAGCUUGCGUGUUGGUUUUAGGUUGGGGGGACCGCGGAGCAAAAUUAAACCUCCACGACAGACGGGCUAACACCCUUAUCCAUGAACCACAAUUCUAAGAGCCAAUAAAUUGUUGUCCAAUGACCCAAUUACUUGAUCAACGAACCAAGUUACCCUGGGGAUAACAGCGCAAUCUACUUCAAGAGCCCCUAUCGACAAGUAGGUUUACGACCUCGAUGUUGGAUCAGGGUAUCCUAGUGGUGCAGCCGCUACUAAAGGUUCGUUUGUUCAACGAUUAAAACCCUACGUGAUCU